AUAUAUAUAUAUGUUUAAAUAUACGCUGAUAUUAUAUAUGUAUUAAUCGUUAACAGUCAUAUCUUCUAAAUGCUUUGCUGAUUAUGAUUUAAAUUGGGAUUGUAUGUUUGGUCAUGAGGGCUAAAUGAAUGUGAAAUGAAUGUAAUAUUUUAGUGCAAUAUUCCUGCUUCUUUAAUAUUUUGUAUUCUGAGCAGAAUUCAUGUACAAUAUGCACCUCUAAAUAUACCCCAUUUAUUUCUAUAUAAAUAAAAAUAUAAAUUUUAGAAGAACAUUUUAUUAUAUUUAUGGCUGCUAUAUAUAUAUAUAUAUAUAUAAAUAAUUAUAUACAUAUUUUAAACACGUACAUAAACCAUUUUCUAUGGGUAUUUUAUAGAUGUUAUAAACUUAUUCGUGUAUGAGUACACUGCUUUCUCCUCCCUCACACUUGGUCUGACCCUUUGGUCUUUGUGCUGUGGGAGAAUCAGAGUACCUGAAGGAGAGCAUGCAGAUGUAUGGCUUGCUCGUGGGAGUCAGCGGAUAACUCUCUGAGGCUUUCUGGCCUCUAGCCGGCCCUCAUACAGUCCCUCUCUGAUUUAAUCUAAGCUCUGAGAGUUGAUGGAGUUCAGGAGUGGGAAUGCAUCUGUUUGCGUUUUGUUUUAUGAUUGCACCAGAAAAGCCAUAAAGAGAAUAUGGUUUGUGUCAAACUAUAGCAAACGUAUGAUAAACACAUUCCUGAGCCGAUCGCCACUCCUUAUAAGACACGCUAAAGAUGGCGAGCUCCCAUUCAUCUUCUGCAUGAGCUCUUUCACAAACACCUGCUGUCUACCACAAAAACACAACGCCUACAACCAAAUGAUGAGCUGAUGAGCAAUUACUGAAUUAAAGAACUAUUUCUAGAUUGGGAACACAUGAUGUAGAAACCAUUUUCACUCAGAAAUGACAAAGAAAUGGCGAGUCAUUCAUUGAAUGAAACGUGAAAUUUUGAAGUAGAAAAACUGAAUUAGUUUUUGCUCUUUAACUUUAUACACUGUGCCAGAUUUAACUCAUGACAUUUAGUUUUGAUGGUAUAAAUGAACGUACUUAGCUUGAUUCAGUGAUAUUAAAUUACAUUUCUGACUUGAAUAAAAGCCGUGAAUUUAGGUUGACAUUUUUUCGUGUCGCUUGCAGAAUCAUAUGUGAUAUAAUAUUAUCUGUAUAUGUAGAUAUAAUAAUGUUUUUUCUUGAUAUGCAACACGAGUAAAUAAUAGAUCCUUAUAUUUCACCCUCAGACAACAAAAAUUGUCACUGUUUCAAAAAAUACAAAUAUGUACCAUUUAGGUAUCAAUAUGUACCCUUUGGGGGCAAAUAAGGUACUUUUGAAAAGGCAUUGUCCCAGUGAUAGCUUUUGUACCUAUUUUUAUGAGAGUGAUCUCAGUGGCACUUACAAUGGUUUUUGGAUGGUUUUUUUUGUGAGUCAUAAUAAACCGCGGCAUAUUCAUAAGCCAUUCCUCUCCUCCUGUUCAUACACUCUCAGAAAAAAAGGUAAAAAAAAAAAGCUGUUUAUGGGACGGUACCCUUUCAAAAUGUACUAAUAUGUACCAUUUAGUUAUGAAUAUGUGCACUUUGGGUACAAUUCUGUAACUUUAAGGUACUAAAAUGCUUCCUUUAAGGGUAAAUAAGGUAAAAAUGUGUACCUUUUGAAAGGAUCCCGUCCCAGUGACAACUUUUGUACCUUUUUUUCUGAGAGUUUACCGGUUCUUCCAACUGAAGAGAGUGUAAUCAUAACCAGACAUGUAGGUUACCGUGUCUGCACUGCCAGCUACACAAUACUGAAACCUGAAAGACGACUUUAGCGUCUGUGUUGAGUAUCGAAGCAUAACAGAGGCGAUCUGCGUGAGCAGGUGCUCUAUUAAUAAAACCAUUGUUGCUUGAAAGUCAGUUCUAGUAGUGAAAAUAGAAGAAAAGCUUUGCACUGCUUUGAGGAAUGCACAGAACUCGAUAAACUACAGAUCGUGUCCCGUUAUUAUUUGUGGAUUAAAGACAGUAUAUUUAUAUGAUAUGUUAUGAAAAUGAAUAUUUAUACAGCAAUGUCUCUAAACGGAAUCAUCGCUGUCUCAUGGAGCAACUGUCAUAACAUGAUAAAGCAAUCAGGCCCUCAUGUUCAGUGUGUCUCGCUGCUGACUGACACGCAGACGAAACAAAGAGCCAGCUUAAUAAUGCACCUCAUCAUCAUCAUCUUCAUCAUCAUCAUCAUGUUUAGAGAGGUUCUGUUGUACACUGUGAAAAGCAGAAAACUGCUAUCGUUACCUCAAAGAGCAUUUUCUACCUGAUUUAACCAAUAAAAAUGACUUUUAUUGAUAUUAAAUGUAUAUAGGUUGGUUCAGUGAUGUUAAAUAAUAUUUUUGACUUGAAUAAAACCAGUUCCCAUUUUUUUCAGUGUAUUAACAACAACAACAAUAAAUGAAAUAAAAUUAACAACUGGAUGUGCAUUAUUUUAACAUUAUACAUAUAUAUGGGAUGUUUGUUUGAAAUCAGCAUAAACUAUCUCAGUGUUUAGAGUGUGAAUAUUUGUGCAUCAGUUCCUCAGAAUGCUGUCUUUUCUUUGAAAAUGAGUACUUGUUGACAAGGAAAGACAGCAGGUAGCUUGAGAUGUAAUGUGACUCAUGUGGGAAGACAAUGAAACAAAUGUACAGGGCGGAGUGCUUUUAUUGUGCACCAUUUCCAGUCAAGCUGUAACAUUCUCAAAGUUAAUUGAAUUAAUUGGUCCAUUUAGAUAGUACGGAGCCCCGCACAUGACAUGCAGGAAAAAAUAGUAGCUAAAUCGUGUGCACGAUUUAUUAAUUCAUUCCCUCAAUGUACUAAAACGUGCACACGAUUACUAUUGCACUCCCUCGAUUUAUAAAUUGUGCGUUUUAGUACAUUGAGGGAACGAAUUAGUAAAUCGUGCGCACAAUUGAUUUAUUUUUUUCUUGCAUGUCAUGUGCGGGGCUCCGUAAGAUAGAGACAGUAAAAAAUAAAAUAAAAUAAAAUAUGCAUUGUACAUAGAAAAUUAUGCACACAAAUACAAUUAAGUUGUGCGUAUUUGAGAGACAUGCACUGUAAAAUGUUUAUUGUCAAAUUAACAGUAACUGAUUGACCAUAUUUCAUCAAUGAACAAAAUACAAUAAUAGCUAGGGCUGGACCAGAAUAUUAGAUUAUUCGAAUAUCCGUUAGGUGGGUUGGCAUUCGAUUUUCAAUUCUGAGAUUCGAAUAUUCUAAAAAAAAAAAAAAAUUCUGAACACCUGGCACCCCCUGCGAAACGAAUCGCUCAUGAGUGAACGUCAUGAUUCAGUUUAUCUGGAAGAGAAGACAGACCUGCCAAGACCUCAGCUGUGUGGGAGCACUUUAUAUUGAGUGAGGACGAGACAAAGGCAGUGUGCCAGAUUGUUGGAGUAAAAAAAAAUGAGCUGCUUUUAUCCGCCAUGUUCAUCAGUAUUUUUUCACAUGAUAAAAACGUGCACUUAAUUUACUUGGAAAAUACUUGGUAUACGUCAGUCAUUAAAAAAAAAAAAAAAAAACGUACAGUAGCCCAGCCUAAUAAUAAUUUGUUUGUAUUAAAAGUUUUGCUCUAAACAGACCUGUGCUGUGUGUUUUGUAUCACUAGUGCAGUGUCUGUUCUGAGCAUAUAAGCCCUGAUUUCCGCUGCACACGUCUGCGGCUCCGACGCGGCUGGAGCUGAUCGCUGCCUCUCUAGUCAAUGCUUGUGUUUACACCAGACACUCUCCGCGCCGCUUCGCUGAAGAUAGGCGCCUAGUCUAUUUCUGACACACGCCGCGUCCAAACCCCACAGCAAAUACAAAACAGAAGUCAAAAAAUCCUGUACAUUUCAAAAUAAACACCCCGUGCAGACUCCCAAUCGUAUUUCACAUUACUACAUUCAUGAUAGGAGGCCAGAAAUAGAUGACGAGAGGUUCAUCCGCAAAGUUAAAACACCUCACAUUAUUAUAUGACACCACAGAUCCUUUUUACAAGACAAUUAAAAAAGGAAAUGAUAUGGAGUUUAAUUGCAGGAGUUGUAGGAGUGGAAUAAACAGAAUAAAACCAGACAAAACAUUAACAUUUAGUCAGCCAUGUUAGAACACACAAAAAUCAAGAAAAACAAUGUUGUUUGUUUCAAGACCCCCAAAGUUCAAGACUUGGUUAUGGCCUUGACCCCUUUAAAGCAUUAAGGGAGAGCUCUGCUCUCAGCUCUUUAACUGUAGGCUUAUUAUAUUAAUGUUAACAUCUACCACAACUAUUUCCCAGUCUCUACUGCAGUGUCGGGGUCCUAAAGUCCCAGAAUGCAUUGCGUUGUCGACGUCACAUUCCCGUUCUCUAUAGCCUACUCUCUUGUCGAGUCUGUCACAGAGUCGUGGCGUGAGGAGCUGCGUGGAUGUUUUCCAUGAUCAUUUAAUACUACUGUAUUCAGAUUUACAGUAGGCUAUUUUCCCAGAAUGCAUUGAAAAUCUACAGUAACAUACACAGCAUAUACAGUAGGAAAUGGCUGAGAAUACAGUAAAUUACACUGAAAACAAAAAUGAUUUACAGUAAAGUGCUAGCGGUGAAAUGAGACAGGACAAAGGAGUCGGACAUUUAAUUCUAAACAUGACUCAAAAGUCCUUUGCCCUACAGAGUGUUAUUAACACAACAUAUGAAAUGUGAUGGAAAAUGACAUUUGUUUGUUUAGUAAAAUGACAAUGACAGCUCUCUCUCUCACACACACUAUAUAUAAAUGAUUUGUGGACAUCAUCAGUAGAGCUGAAUAAUGGCCCUAUUGUUUUUUUAGAGUCUGCUGUUUUCCUCUUUCCUAUUGUGAAGCUGCUUUGAUCUUUAUAAAGACUAAAGCACUAUAGAGAAACAUGUGACUUGACUGGCUUGGUAAACAUCAUCAACUAUUAAGGUUGGAAAAUUGUGUUUUAAAGGUGUUGGAGACAAACAGCUUGAUUUAUGUGGAGUUAGAUUGCAUGUUUCUGUUCAGGUGAGGAAUCCUAUAGUCGUGUGUAUCCGUCUCGUGUGGGAUCAUCUCCUCUUCUGAGUCAAGCAGAAGCUGGUCUCUGUCAUCCAUCUUUUGCUGUUAAUAUUUUGAGCUCUGAUUUCAUGCAGUUGUCUUAACCUGCUACAGAGGAAAGGCAGCAUUGUGUUGCAUCUCAACCCUUUCUUACCACAUCCUCUCAAACUCAGUCAACCCAUCUCUGCAUCAGUGCCCCCCCAUCACCCCCCCAUCCGCCAAGCCCAUGCUGACUCUUCAUUCUUAACUUAGAAUGAUACUUUAAGCAAAAGUCUACACCAGGGUUCCUCAAAUCUUCCGCUAGAGGGCCAAUGUGCUGCAGAGUUUAUCUCAAACCCUGAUCAAACUCACCUGCCUGUGAUUGUCUAAUGAUCCUGAAGACAUUGAUCAGCAUGCUCAGGUGUGUUUGAUUAGGGUUACAGCUGAACUCUGCAGGAGAGUGGAUCUGGGAGGCCAUGUUUGAGGAUCACUGGUCUACACAUAUGACCUAAACAUUUACAUCAUACCUUCCUCACAUGUGCACACCACUGUAUACGUACAUAUACACACACAGCAGUGAGUAGUGAACACACACCCAGAGCAAAGAGAGCGCUGUACAUUCACUUUUCCUACUCCUGCCGGUACUGAGACUCAAACCCAAGACCUUUGGGUUGCUAGUCCAACUCUCUAACCAUUAGGCCAUGACUGCAUGUUUAUUACUUGUGCUAUAUUUAUUAUUAUUAUUGUAUUCAAGGAGCCAAAGGAGCAAGCUCAUAUGGAUCUUUGAUACCUAUUAACUUUUUUUUGUCAAAGUUUGUCAAAAUAUCGUGCCCUUCCGUGGUCUAGACAUCACAAAUUAGUAGAACAACAUCUUCAGUAGUACAUUAACUGUGCAAUCCUUGCUGUUGUUUGCAUCCGAGUCUCUCCAAUAUGGCCAUGCCUCUGGGAAACUGACCGAACGGUGACGAAGGUGCAAACGCUCUGUAGGGAUGCACGGCUCCGAUACUGCCAUUUUCUCAGGUAUCAGUCAGACGAGACCGAUCCAAAUCUGAUAUUGUGAGUAUACUAUUCAGUGUUGUUGUUAAGCCCCAUUAAAGGCACAAAAACAUUACAAAGCACCACAAAGUUUCCACGCACGAGUUCUGAAGCCGUUCCAUAGUGUAAAGUGAGGUCCAGAUUAAUAUUUGAGUCGUUAGUAUACUCUUCUCUCAUCAGUUACAACAGUCAAGAUGAUGAAACUCUCUCCAAGAUGAUUUAAUGUUUCUAUUAUUAUACUUGAUCUGUAGAUAAAGAUCAAUGGUUUUGCAUAAAAGGACUUUAUCUGGCUGGAGUUUAGUGCUGUUUCUAAAGCAUGUUACUUUCCACCAGGUGCCCUUACCCAAAAUAAGUAAACUUCAGGUUUAUUUUAUUAAGUAUAGUUAAGUAAAGUUCAGGUAUAUUCAAUCAGAGCACACCUCGCUUUUCAGAACGAUUUGUAAACGUUUCAGAAAGGUGGGGCAUAGAGGAGAAACAAUAAUGUACAGUACAGUAAUGUUCCACAUAAACACAUUUAAUUUCACCAAAUACACCAAAUAAUGUUCUUUUAGCAACAUCAUAUGAAUAUAUGAAUAUACAAAUAUCAGUGUUCUAGUAGUAUACUUGUAAGUGUACUAUUUCAAUACUUCUUGAGACUUUUAUGUACACUUUAAGUAUAAUGAUAGUCAACUUUGAGUACACUACUAGUUUACCUCUGUGUUUGUAGUUUGUACUGCAAUUAUACUAAAAGUGAACUUCUAGCUAUACUGAUAGUUUACUUAUUAAAUACUUUGUACACUUUGAAGUAUAGUCUCAGUAAACUACUAGUUUAGUAGUUUUAUACUGCAAGAAUACUCGUAAGUUUUCUUUAUGUGAACUUUACAUCAUACUUUAAGUACACUACUAUGUCCCUAUUUAGGUUUUAAUUUGUAUAAAUUUUGUUAUAUGAAUAUCUGAACAUACAAAACAUCCGAAGAAAGAACAGGGUCUGCUUGUAAACAACAACAUUUUAUUCUAGCUUCAUGCAUUCUUUUUUUAUAAACACCUGAAUGUGGGUAAGUUUCAUAAGUAAAAAUUUAAGAAAUAAACAGCAUUUUGAACAAAAAGCUGAAAAAAGACUAUGUAUUGGAUUCAGAAUGAUAAUCAAAAUGUAGAUGGAGUUGAUUAACACCCCAAAGCUCUUCAUGGGUCAACAUUUUAUUCCAUAACGUCACACAGUUUUGAUGCUGUUAGGGUUUGAUGCUGUGAUGAUCGUCCCUGCGUUCCAUUCGGAAGGGCUCAUCCCUCAUCCCCUCAAAGUGUUCACCCUCUGGAGUGAGAGCCCUGAAGGGUUGAAGGGUGUAGGGCACCAAACAACUGUUUCUUGAAGUGCCCACACGGACGCGCCGUCAUCAUGCAAAGGAUCAUGGGAGCCCGAAGUGUCCAUCAGUUGUACCCUUCGAAACCCUUUGAAGUGGCCAGUUGUGAGCACUUCGGUUUGGAAUGACCCUUCAAUAUGGCGGCCAUGAUUGUUUUCACUCCGAAGUGCCCUUCAGAGGACGAUAUAUCCCGUUUGGAACGCACCACGUGUUAGAUUACAUCUGGAAGCAUCUGUUGUUUCAGUUUCUUCUUCGCUUGUGUCUUGGAAAUUCUGUACAGAAGAUGUGUAAUAGCGCCCCCUACAACAUAACAAUGAUUCCCAGAGCACAAGUAGCUAUAGCUCAAAUAUAUUUAGACUUUUUCUAAUUAUACGUCAAGUGUACUUAAAUCUAAUUUUAAGUAUAUUUCUGAGAAGUUGUUUCUUUAAAGUAGAAAUAGAGCCUUAAAAAUUACAAUUGCAGUUUUUUGCCAGCCAUAGGAUUUUUACUACUUUACUACUACGAGACUGCUCUUCUUUCACAUGCAGCAGUCGAGGUCUGUGAGGCCACAUCAUAAAUUUUGGGAAAUACCAGCAGCGGCCCCAAACGCACAGCCUUCUGUGUGUGUGAUAAGAGUUAGGGAGAAACCCUGCGCUCCACUGACUCAUACACACACACUUCAGUUUUGCUUCACUGCGAAAGAGUGACUCACGUAAACAUUGUGAUUAUUUUUAAGAAAAAAGAUAGUCUUAAUGCGGCCUAUAUGUCUGAUUAACCCCAGUGAUUCACAGGAAACAUGCUCCGUUUGACUGUCAUGUUGAAACGUGUCCUAAAAUAACUUGUGUAAUGUUCUGUAAGGAAAAGGAAACCUCCGGGGAAGUGAAAUACUACCGUGGAGUUUUAUUCAGGACAGAUAAACAAGGUCUACAGUAGAUAUGCUGUACAUGUGCAUGUUUGAGUGACGUUUGCUUCGGAAAAGACCCAGAAAGCCUGAUGUUGUGAGAAACAGCUUCUCAUGGCUCUGGUGUGAUGACGGUGGUCAGGACGGGACUUUUAGGUUUCGCUACAGUUGGUGACAGCAGCUUUUGAUGACAAAUGGGGAACUGCAUUCACUGUACAGUAAAACUAAAUAUCAAGUAAAUACAAUAACCUAUAUGCUUGCAUUCUACCUCCAUAAAUGAAACAUUGAUGCAUGAAGUAAUGGUAAAUAUCACUUGUGAACAGUAUACCUGCGGUGUCAUCUACAAUCUUUAUCAAAAAUGAAAAAAUGCUGGAAAUGUAAUUUUAUUAUUUCUCUUCACUGGUAAUUCACUUGGCCAUUUUAUUCCAUUAUCAGUGGACAUACACACAUCCAUUACAGGACAAUUACUGUCAUUUUUCUAAAACAACAAAUAUCAUUUCCAGCACAGAUUUAUUUAUUUAUUUUUUUCAAAAAUAAAUAAAAUAAUAAAAAUACUCUGUGAUACAAAUACUACACUACUGUUUGGAGUUUUAGAGUUUGGGGGUUACAUGUUUCUGGAAGAAGGCUGCAUUUAACUGAUCAAAACAGCUGUUUUCUGUGUGAAUCUCUGUUAAAGUGUAAUUUAUUUCUGUGAUGCGCAGCUGUAUUUUCAGCAUCAUUACUCCUGUCUUCAGUGUCACAUGAUCUUCAGAAAUCAUUCUAAUAUGAUGAUUUGCUGCUCAAGAAACAUUUCUGAUUAUUUUCAAUGUUGAAAACAGUUGUGCUGCACAAUAUUUUUUGUGGAAACUGUGAUACAUUUAAUUUUUCAGGAUUCACAGAUGAAUAUACAGUGAGUUCAAUAGAACAGCAUUUAUUUGAGAAAUAUUUUGUAACAUUAAAAAUGUCUUUACUGUCACUUUUAAUCAAUUUAAUGCAGCCUUGAAGAAAAAUAUUCAUUUAAAUUUUAAUUUAUUUUUUGUACUGAACCCAGACUUGAACAGUUGUGUAUUUGUGUCCACUGGUUUAAUGUUAGGAAUGAAUAAAUAAAAGACAUUUGAAAAAUAAUAAUAAUAAUAAUAAUAAUAAAAACAUAAAAAUAAAUAAUGAAAGUAAGACUGUUGCCCGUAGUUGGAAAAAUGCUGAAUGCUCAGGAUAUGACUAUUGUGGAAGCAAACAGUCUUGUGAAAUGUGUCAAAUAAGCAGAUGAUUAUGUUCCUCUUUUUAAAGUCUUUCUGUCAGUGAUGGGUACAGAUGGAAGGACAGAAAAUCUCCCGCCCGCACCGAGAGAGUCAUGAUAGAGCGACCUGUUACGACAAGUACACUAUCUAGAGAUCUGCUGCCAAACCAAAGCAGCGAAACCACUCACAACCUUCAGAUUAGUGUUCAGCUGAACCUGGGAUUUGCUCAGCGGUUUAUUCUUAAUUUAUUACAUUUGACCCCAGCUGAAGGUGACCAUUUAAAGGAAGAGUUCAGGGUUAGCUCAUCAAUGGAUACUCUGCAGUGAAUGGGUGCCGUCAGAAUGAGAGUCCAAACAGCUGAUAAAAACAUCACAAUAAUCCACAAGUAAUCCACAGCACUCCAGUCCAUCAGUGAACAUCUGGAGAAGACAAAAGAUGAAACACAUCCAGCAUAAAGAUGCUUUUAACUCAAAUACAUAGUCUAUAAUCCAUAAUAACACUUCCUCCAGUGAAAAAGUCCAGUUUUCAUUUGUGGCUGAACUAUUGCUUUAACAAUUAACAGGCUAAUAUUUAACAUGACUCUAAUAAAAAGCGUAUGAAAGAAAUAAUUAUAAUUUAAUGUUUAAGUGGCACUUUUUAUUUUAUUAUAAUUUUUUUAAAUGUAAGUUGUGUGUGUGUGUGUGUGUGUGUGUGUGUGUGUGUGUGUGUGUGUGUGUGUGUGUGCUAUAUAUUUAUGCAUACUUCAUAUACUCAUAACGUCAGAGUGAUGUCAGAGGCAUGUUCAUGAUUGACAGAUGAAUGAAAAUUCACUUCUUGUCAUUUUUUUGUUUUUCCUGUUUUCUGUUUUGAUUGACUGCUGGUUAGUGGGUCGCUCUGUAGCUGCUGGGGUCAGACUCAGGGUCAAGGUCAGGCUCGGAGUAGGCUUGGGUUUUUGACUCAGAACUGAUCUGAGGACAGAUCUGACCGCGGCGCUGCUCCAGUGGCCCAGAUGUUUUUGGAUGUGUGAAUUCUUACAUAAUGUGUUAUUCAGCAGUAAUGUAUUUUGCUUCAGUCACGUGUGUGUGUGUGUUUGGCUGCUAGACCGGCUGGAUGAGUCCAGCGCUUUAAUCACGUUCAGAUGGUCGAUUUUCUGCCCUGACCUGAAAAACCCACAGCUUCUAUAUGUUGUGACAAGCAGUUCAACAGAAACACAAAGAACUACCAUCUGAAGCCUGUGCCAAGAUAACAAGAGCUUCAAAAACAAGGAUCAGCUCGAGAGAAUGUUUGAAGAGCUUUUAUGUCAUCAGACAAAUGCUGCAUGUACACAUCUUCAGGACAUGAGUGUGCAUAUCAGCACAGUAUUCCUGCACACAUAUUCAUUCAUAUUCUACACAGAAGAACAAGCUGUUUGUCUUUCUCUAAACCGUCAGUCAGGCAGUUUUGAAUUUUUCUUUUUAAUUUAAAAAUAAUAAUAAAAAAAAUGUAUGUAUAGUCAUUUUUAUUUCAGAUUUAGUUUGAAUUAUUUUACAACAUCAAACUACAUUUAAACUAAAUCAAAAAUGAGAACUGUUGCUUGGAACCUAGCUGAAAUAAAAUAUGUUUAAUAUUUUAUUGUAUAUGUCACGCUCACAGCAUGAUGUCUUACCGACUGUAUGUGCAUCUUCAUAUUUCACUGUAAUUUAUUUCAAUAAUUAUGUUUCUGUGUGCAUUAACGGUUGGCUGUUAACUGUGUUUCAUUGACUCUGUGCUCGUUAAUAUCAAGUCUGAGCGGAUUCAUGACACUUUGAUGGGACAGUUCAUCCAAAAAUCAUAAUUCUGUCAUCGUUUAUUCUCAUAUCAUUCUAAACUGUGCGACUUUCUUUCUUCUGAAGACAUUUCUCAAAACAUCUUCUUGAGGACACGAGGACGAGUAAAUGAUGAUUUUUGUGUGAACUAUCCCUUCAACAGCUACAAGUCAUAAACAUCACUUCAACACACAAAUGAGAUUUGGUCAGUAAAUCACUCCUGUUUUACACUUGUGUGUCCGUCCUUCAUACGAUCACAGCCCAACCCAGUCUAAAAUCAUAUCUACUUUAAACUCUUCAAUUUUAAAAUCAGUUUGAGUGUUCUCAGCAAUGGUUGAAUUCACCAAUAUUUUUAAUUUGUUAUUUAUUUUUUUGUGACUGUUGACUGUUAUUCACGCCUUCAGAAAUGAUGCAGUGCGUGAUGUUGGUGAAAUAUUAUAGUAAGUGAUUUCAGGUAAUUCUAGGCGAUAUGAAACACAUGCUCAUCUCUGUGAAAGUGUGUGCACAGCAGCGUUUGCAGAGAACACAGUCCUGUGUUGAAGAUGAAGAGUUAAUUUGGAGCAAGAUUUAAUGCAGGAGGCUGUGGGAAAUCUGCUGACCUGAGAAGACCGGCUCAGAAAUGAUCUCUCAAGCUAUGACUUUCAUCAGCUGAUACUAAUGAAAGCACUUCAUUACAGGACAUUGUUUUAAAAGGAUGUUUUCUUGAAUCUGGCUCUGUGGUGGUUUCGUUUUUCAUCACUUGUCACUUGUUUAAUGUGUUUUCUUUAUUGCAUUUACUUGAUGCUUUUCUCUAAAGUGACUUAUUGAUCCAUAUGACGGGAUUCGGCUGUAAUGUUCUUUAUUCUCUUGCCUGAACAAAAAAAUAAAUAAACUGUUUUCCUCACUGAAUCAUACCUGGAAUUUUCUGAAUUUCACUAUGACAGAAAUGCAGCGAUUAACUUUCUGAAUGUUUUUCAUGUUUUGCUGCUCCACAUCGGGUUGAAAUGAAUGAAGCAGAAUCUGGGUAUCAGUUCCAAACUCGUACGAUUGUCUUUCUUCUGUGGAACAAGGAAGAUUUGUUAGAGAAUCAAUGCAAUAAUAGUCAGUGGGGUCUAAAGUUUCAAGCACCAAAAAAACAUAAAUGUGGUGUAAAAGUCAUCAUACAACUCCAGCAGACUCUUCUGAAGCCAUACGAUCACUUUACACAACUAUCGGAGGGACCUCAAAUCAGCUCAUGUUUACAGACCUUUCUGAAAAUCAAGUAUGCUUUAAAAAGAGCACUUAAGUAAUAUACUUCAGAACAAUAUAUGGUCACACUUUAGUUUAGGGGACCAGUUCUUACUACUUUUGCCUCAAUAAACUCCUUAUUUGCUGCUUAUUAAUAGUUAGUAAGGUAGUUUAGGUAUUGGGUCAAAAUAAGGCAUCUAAAAUAUGCUUGUGCAUCAAAAUGUGUUAUAUUAGUGCUAAUAAACAGCCAAUAUGCUAGUAAUAUGCAUGCUAGUUAAUAGUGAGAACUGGCCCUUAAACUAAAGUGUUAAUUUAUAUACUUAAAGGGGACAUCAGAUGCAAAAUUCACUUUUACAUGAAUAUAAUGUGUGUUGGCAGUGUGUGGACACAAUUACCCUACAAUGAUAAAAAACACUCUUUUUUUUUUAAUCCCCAAAAAUCCUAUACAGUCUCAGUGACCAAGCUUUGAUUUUCUGAGCAGUAUGACGUCAUAUUGCUCAAGCCCCGCCCACAGCCGCUGACGGUGUUCUGAAAUAUUUGGUGUCUGAGAUUUUCUGUGAAACUGGGCGAAGCUUACAUGAAUAUUCAUGAGUUUCCUCUUAAAGUGCAGUUAAAACAUUAGUGCUCCUCGGAUCAAAAAAAAAAAAAAAAACCUGUUUCCGGUAACAUCAUUUCUUUUCAGCGUUGAUCUGAUUUUUUAUAUAUAUUUUUAUAUAUGUAUUAUUAUGCACAGCCAUUUACAGUCAUGGCCAAAAAUAUCUUGGUAAAUAUGAUCAAAGGCGGCUGUGAAAAUUAAUCUGCAUUGUUAAUCCUUUUGAUCUUUUAUUUUAAAAAAUCACAAAAAUCUAACCUUUCAUUGGAUAAUAAGAAUUUAAAAUGGGGGGAAAUAUCAUUAUGAAAUUAAUGCUUUUCUCUAAUGUUAAGCAGGCCUCUCCUCUAUCUGUGUUUAAAACCCAUCUUAAAACCCUUCUUUUCUCUUUGGCUUUUGACACCUAGUAAGAUGUCGACUUUAUUUACUUGAUUUAAUUUGUUACUUUGAAUGCUUUUAUUGUGUGGUUAUUAAUUGUACAUAUGUUUAUUUUUUCUGUACAGCACUUUGGUCAACUGUGGUUGUUGUAAAGUGCAUAACAAAUAAAGUUGGUAUGGUAUGGUAAUACACACUGGACACAAUUAACGGCACCCUUUUAUUCAAUACUUUCUGAAACCUCCUUUUGCCAGUUUAACAGCUCUACAUGUUCUCCUAUAAUGCCUGAUGAGGUUAGAGAACACCUGACAAGAGAUCAGAGCUCAUUUCUUAGUUUAAUCUCACCAUAGAAGCCAGUCCCAUUUAAAGUUUGAGUCGUGUCUGAUAACUGAAUAUGCUUUAGUUUGUUUUUGGAUGAGCUAGGAGAAUUUUUCUUGUAACCCUCCUAAACAACAUGUGAUGAUGUUCUGUUUGGUUGGAAAUUCUUAAUUAUUGUCCUGAUGGUGGAAAUGGGAAUUUUCACUGCUCUAGCUCUUUUCUUAAAGCCACUUCACCAAUUUGUGAAGCUCAAUUAUCUUUUGCUGCACAUCAGAAAUAUAUUCUUUGGUUUUUCUCAUUGUGAUGGAUGAUUCAGGGAAUUUGGGCUUUGUUUUCCCUCAUAUUUAUAUUUCUGUGAAACAGGAAGCCUUGGCUCGAUAAUUUCAUGUUCAUAAUCACCCUGGAGUGCCCAAAAUUGUGAAUAUGAAUGGGAAUAUACUUCUGAGAUAUAUUACUCAUAAGAAUUUCUAGGGGUGCCAAUAAUUGUGCCCAAUGUGUAUUAGAGAAAAACUUUCAUUUCAUAAUGAUAUUUCCCCCCAUUUUAAAUUCUUAUUAUCCA
Molecule: long non-coding RNA, 14242 nt
Organism: Cyprinus carpio carpio
Lineage: Eukaryota; Metazoa; Chordata; Actinopteri; Cypriniformes; Cyprinidae
Source: Ensembl